GAUGAACGCUAGCUACAGGCUUAACACAUGCAAGUCGAGGGGAAACGACAUCGAAAGCUUGCUUUUGAUGGGCGUCGACCGGCGCACGGGUGAGUAACGCGUAUCCAACCUGCCCAUCACUUGGGAAUAACCUUGCGAAAGUAAGACUAAUACCCAAUGACAUCCCACGAAGACAUCUGAAUGGGAUUAAAGAUUUAUCGGUGAUGGAUGGGGAUGCGUCUGAUUAGCUUGUUGGCGGGGUAACGGCCCACCAAGGCAACGAUCAGUAGGGGUUCUGAGAGGAAGGUCCCCCACAUUGGAACUGAGACACGGACCAAACUCCUACGGGAGGCAGCAGUGAGGAAUAUUGGUCAAUGGGCGAGAGCCUGAACCAGCCAAGUAGCGUGCAGGAUGACGGCCCUAUGGGUUGUAAACUGCUUUUAUAAGGGAAUAAAGUGGGUCUCGUGAGACUUUUUGCAUGUACCUUAUGAAUAAGGACCGGCUAAUUCCGUG
RNAcentral lists this ribosomal RNA (492 nucleotides) under uncultured bacterium. RNAcentral describes it as "partial 16S ribosomal RNA". It matches the Rfam family "Bacterial small subunit ribosomal RNA", at positions 28 to 507 of the family's 1533-position model. The record is from RNAcentral.